UUAAACCACAAUAUUAAAAAAUUUAGGUUCCCGAAGCAAGAAGAGCUAACUAGAUAAAUAAAAUUAUCUCAUAGGGAGUUCCCAUGUGUAAUGUAGCAAAAUUACAUUCUAAGUUAUAGUUAGGAGUGAAAGGCUUUACAAUUCUUGUUUAUUUCUGGAUUGAGUUUAAAAAUAUUUAGUAUUAAAGUCAAGUUUGAAAAGCCAAGCUUUCAAACUUACAAGAGUGUGUAGGAUUAAAUUUAACAACUUAUUAAUAUAAAGGUGUUUAUUUUUUCAAACAAUUAAUUUACUUUAUUUAUUUGUUUUCAUAAGCUCUUUAAGCAGCCCAACAAAUUAAGCCAGCUUAAAUAAUGUUUAAAUGAGUACUAUUAACUAAAAAGCUGUAAGGAACUCGGCAAAUAAAAUCCCCUCAACUGUUUAUCAAAAACAUAGCUAGUUGUUCUUAUUAUAGCUGGUUAGCUCUGCCCAGUGAACUAAUUGUUUUUAACGGCCGCAGUACACUGACUGUGCAAAGGUAGCAUAAUCAAUUGGCUUUUAAUUGGAGUCUGGAAUGAAAGAGUUCAUGGGAGGAUACUGUCUUAUUAUUUUUUUUUGGAAAUUACUAAGCAAGUGAAAAUUCUUGCUAUAUCUUCUAAUAGACGAGAAGACCCUAUAAAUUUUUACUAAAGUAUUUUUAUUUAACUCUUCGUUUUUGUUGGGGCAACAAGUUAACAAUUUAGAAAAAUUUAACUAAAUAAAGUUUAAGGAAUUCUUCGAGUUUUACUAAGAAUAAAUAAGUUACUAUAGGGAUAACAGCAUAAUUUUUCUUUUAAGAUUGUGACCUCGAUGUUGGAUUAGGGACUUAUUAAAUAAACCAUUUAGAUAAGAAGUUCUGUUCGAACUGAUACACCU
RNAcentral lists this ribosomal RNA (891 nucleotides) under Clausilia bidentata bidentata. RNAcentral describes it as "partial large subunit ribosomal RNA". The stretch from base 370 to 623 matches the Rfam family "Archaeal large subunit ribosomal RNA", at positions 1786 to 2143 of the family's 2987-position model. Lineage: Eukaryota; Metazoa; Mollusca; Gastropoda; Stylommatophora; Clausiliidae. The record is from RNAcentral.